RNA transcript from Panicum virgatum (switchgrass), 1190 nucleotides. RefSeq lists it as uncharacterized. Lineage: Eukaryota; Viridiplantae; Streptophyta; Magnoliopsida; Poales; Poaceae. The record is from RefSeq and is a predicted model, not a curated record. The transcript is spliced from 3 exons.
GCGAUUCCGAAUCAAGCGGUUUUGUAAAUAAUCAGCGUGGUUUUUGGGAAAAGAACUCCAGGCAGGGGACAUGGACAUGGCGCCCGGCGGCGAGGUUACCGGCAACCUUCGUGAGCACCCCCUCCGCCCUAGCCCACCGCAAGCAUCCCGCGGUACGCGUAGGCUUGAGAUCGACUGCCUUCGUGGGCGGCCGCGGUGCGGGGAGGAGCCCAACAAGAUACGCGCGCUCCGCCGCGGCAGGGAUGAAGCCGCCUCCCGCAUCCGUCUUAUCAGUCGGCUGGCUCCGCCUGUCCUUACCCGGCAAGAACAUGCCGCGUAUUUCACCUCCAGGAUGAUGUAUUGAUGUAUCGCAUGCAACUUGAGAAGGACCUCUAUGAGAAUCCUGACAACACUGCCUAUCAACUAUGUAACACACCAGAGGCCAUGGAAUCAGAUUCAGAUGUUUCCCUGGAUAUGGAAUCUGAUGACCUAUAUACAAAAAGUCCAUGCACAUCUCAGAGUGGGCGUGACCUCUGUGAGAAUGCUGACAAAUAUGGUGACCUGGUCCAGAAAGUCCAUGCACAUCCCAGAAUGGGCGUGAUGUGCCAGCUGAUAAUGCUCUGUUAGAGACCACAAGCGUUGGAAGUGCAAUGCGAGAAUCUCGUAACUGCAGCACCAGCUCAAGCAAGAAAGGAGAUUCUAGUUGCAGCUCUCCUCUUUCAAAAAACCAAAGGCCAUCAUCAGGUUCCAGGUGCAGCUCUCCUGUUUGCAUGGCACAGUAACGUACUGUCGAAGACCUAAGGCCAUUGUCAGACAGAGAAUGGGAUUCCCUUAGACAAAAAAUAAAGAACAUUAUAGGAAGCAGACAUGAACAAUUAAAUAUUCUUCUUUCCUCAGAGGACACCAUGCUUAGGAAGAAUGAGGAGAUUGCAACUAUAAAAGACUGCAGUAUUACAAAAGCUGACGUACUUCACUCCUUCAAUGAUCCCGUGAAAAGUAGUGCAAUCCUUGAUGUAUUUAGAAUUUGCUUGAAUCCUUGAUGUCAGAGACAAAAAUAAUAAAAAAGAAAAGUGCAUGUGUAUAGAAAUAUAAAAGUAAACGACUAUUCACACGGUUGGUCCUACAAUUUGUCUUUUUUAAUCUCGUAUCAGGAUUGAAUUUGUUAUUGAAAUUUUGUACAUAUUUAAAUCUUACCCACACCUAUACGACUA